AGGGCAUUCGUCUUGAUUUAUUAUUGUUUUUUAAUUUUGACUUUAAAAAUGUUGCAUCAGGAUGACUUAUCUUGAGUCCUAAGUUUUGUUUUUUAACUUCUGAGGGUCUGUGGUCCCCUUGCCUAGAUCCAGUUCAUGGACCCAGUUCAUGAAUCCAGUGGCAUUAGGACAUUUUUUUCAUACACACAUAUCCUCGUGCUUUGUUUAUACCCCCUACCAUCCACAAAUUUACCGUCCUACCUAAAUAACUUUUAUGAAAAUAUCACACCUAGGCUGACUUUGGCAUUUGUAAGCCCCAUUGAGCAGCAUGCUGAGUUUCUGGCUAGCUGCUCUGAGAUGGCACUGCGUUCUAUAGGUAAUGGGUGAGUCUGGUUGUGUGUUAAUGUAGAUUUUUAAAAGUUGGGCAAGAUGCAGAAAAGCUGCAAAUGAACAAUGUAAACCAAGGUGGCAUGAAAAAUGUCAGGGUGGGUGCGAGAACCUGGAACCAAUAUUCAAACAGCGUGCAAGUUUCGAUUUUUCUUUGUUACCGUGUCAGUGUUUCGAAAAGUCUAAAUUAUGCCUGUAAAAAUUUAACAUAUGUAUACAUAUGUAUGAAAGUUUACAACUUAGCAGGGGUGGGACAGACAAGCACAAUAGUGGGUUUCACCUUGAGUAAAAGGCAGAACGAAGUGCUACAAUUUGGCUUUCUUUCCUUUCUUUCUCUCUUUCUCUCUCUCUCUCUUUCUUUCUUUCUUUCUUUCUUUCUUUCUUUCUUUCUCUCUCUCUCUCUCUCUCUCUCUCUUUCUUUCUUUCUUUCUUUCUGUUUUUUUAAAGAGUUAUUUAUUUAUUAUAUGUAAGUAAGUACACUGUAGCUGUCUUCAGACACUUUUUCUUCUCACUCUGGCCCUGCUCGCAUGCUGUAGCUGUCGUCAGACACCCCAGAAGAGGACAUCAGAUCUCAUUACGGAUGGUUGUGAGCCAUCAUGUGGUUGCUGGGAUUUGAACUCAUGACCUUCAGAAGAGCAGUCAGCGUUCUUAACCACUGAGCCAUCUUCUCCAGUCCCCACAAUUUGGUUUGUUACAGUGUUGGAGUCAUGGGGCGUUCUGGCAUCUUCUCAGAGACCCAUAAAGGCAUCCUCUUCUAUACUCCGCUUCAGUCUGCAACUUCCUCAUCUCCUUGUCCAGCCUCCUUUGUCUCUCUCCUGACUUAUGGCUCCAAACAUGGCCUCCUGCCUCCCCAUGGUUCUCAAAUCAAUUUUGCCCCAUAGGGCAAAAUUUGUUGCUGUCAUAACUGAGAGAGUGCUGCUGUCGCUAGUCAGGACAGGACAGGGAUGCUAAUGAACUCCAACAGGGCAUGUGACAGGCCCCCUCCCUAGUAAGGAAUUACCAGCCCCAAACACCAAUGGUGCUCAUGUAGAGCUUCUAGGCUCCUCUUUCCCACUCACAGAGGCCCAGUUCAGCAGGCAAAACAAUUUUUAUUUUCUAAAACAUAAAUCUUUUACUUUCUGAAGUUUCUUUUCUUGCCUUGGACUUUUAUUGCAUUCUCAUUGCCUGAGGAGUGAAAAAUCUGAAUCCAUACACAGGAGCACAAAACCUCCAUUGCUUAGUUCUGUCUCUUUCUCUGCCUGUCUUUCUGUCUCUCUGUCUCUGUCUCUCUCUCUCUCUCAUUCCCUUCCCACUCAUCCUUUAGAGGCAUACCAAGUCAUUGCUUACUGGUUGGACUUAGCAGAAGGUAUUUUCCAAAUCAGGGCCAAUUUCUCAUCCUACUUUGUGUGGUAGUUUGAAUGAGAAUGGCUCCCAUAGGCUCAAGUUUUUUUUUUUUAAUUAAUUUAUUUUUAUGUAUAUAAGUAAAUGUAGCUGUCUUUAGA
RNAcentral lists this long non-coding RNA (1847 nucleotides) under Mus musculus (house mouse). RNAcentral's name for it is "long non-coding RNA chr2:169013072-169014919". Lineage: Eukaryota; Metazoa; Chordata; Mammalia; Rodentia; Muridae. The record is from RNAcentral.